AAGGCCCCACCUCCUAAUACCAUCACACUGGGGCUUAGCACCUCAACAUAUCAAUUUUGGGGAAAUACAAUUCAGUUCACAGUGCAUAGAUAGAUAUUAAUUGAUAUUAUCAAAAGAAACCAUGGGCAGAUAAACCCAAAACCAAACUGUUUUAAUGGUUAUCUAUUGGGAAGAAAAAGAAACAGGGUGAACGGGAAGUUACAGAAGCAAGAUUUCUGUGACUGUAACUGGAUAAAUAGAGAGUUUGGGAGGACGAUAAGUGUUUUAUGUGAUUUUUAAAAAUUAAAGUAAACUGAAAUGAAUGAGUCUUCCUGCAUAUAAAGUGUGUGGCAUAACCACAUAAAGCAAACAAUUACUUAAAGUGGCUUUAAAACGCAGCAUUUUGACUAUACAUCCCAAGUGAGAGAUAUGCUAUGGACAAUAAAAAAAAGGAAAAGAAAAAAGGAAAGAAAUCAUAAAUGGCAUUCAGUAGCCAUAUAUUAGUAUUGACAUUUUUAUUAAAUUACUAUGUUUCCAUCAUUAGGAACCAUAAUUUUCAGUAUAAAAAUGACAUAGCAUAAAAUCAAGGAAGUUUAAGUAAAAAUCUUGUAAUCUUAAAAGUGAAUUGGAAAUUGCAGUAUGAACUCACAUUGUGUUUUACUCUUUAAAAAAUACAUAUUUUCUAGUUCUGUCCACUGAAAAGACCCAGAAGCAAUGAAAACCCAGUAACAAUGAGCACACUUCCACGGCUGAACUCUCUAGAUAACAUUUACCAAUGAAAUUGGCUGAUUCUAAGUCUAGGGCAAAAAAUGUACAAAAGGAGACUGGAUACAAGUCUCUUAUUGUACCAGAAAGUGAAGGAGAAAUCAAAGACUAAUGAGGUCACGUUAAAGUGAUACAGGACGACACAGGGCCUGCCUGCAGCAGCUGGUCAAUAAUGAAGGGAUUAAUCCAUGACUGCAAGACUCGUGGGAAGGAGGGAGUGGGGACUGCAGGGAGGGUCCUAGUAAAAGCAGGGUGGGCCUCGAUGAGCACAGCAUGGACAGUGCGAUUUAAAUCCCAUCGCUUGUGGGCAGGAGGAGUGAGGAUGCCAGAACCUAGUUAUCCCCCACCAUCCCACGCUCUCCCAGGAGGCGGCGGCAGGAAGUGCAGUCUACAGUAAGGGAAAGCCGCCGGAGCUGGAGACAGGCUGGAAAGAGCAGGUAACAGCCCACAAGGAGCGGGGGCCCUGGCUGUCAGACUCAACUUGCAGGACCAUCAAGUGCAGGUGUGGUUCAAGAACCGGGGCCGCUUGCUCUGCGGUAGCAACGGCACAUAACCGCAGCGAUGACCAGGGCAGCCAAGCCAGCAGCCGGGACCCCGGGAUGCUCUUGGCACAUGAUCCGACUCCCCUGCCUUUGCGGGUCCUGUACUCCCGCGAGGUCCAGGAUUGUGCAGCCCCUCCCCAACCGGCCGUUGGGAAUCUUCGCAGCAGCAGAACCCGCUGCCUCCAGGUCCGACCAGACCUGCAUAGGUAGAGAGUCCCCGCACAGGGCGGCCAGCAGAGCUACCCAGCUGCCCCAGGGCCUCGGGACCCCUGGGCCUGGGACCCAGGCCAGACCCUGACUCAUUCGGUGAUCUCACAGGACUCCUCCCACCCCAAGACCCUUUCAGGGACCCUGCCUCGAACUCCACGACAUGGGAGGCAGGGGCGGGCCUUUUGCAGGGGAAGGACUCCCCCAGCAGGACGUUUACUGAAUCUGGAGGGAGUCGCCCUGCAGAUAUCCCGCGGAAGCCGGAGGAGACCCAGGUGCGCCCCACCGGCUAGCUGCGCCUGCGGGUGCCCAAAUUGGUGUCCGGGCCAUCCUCACCGCAGUGACUCCUCCGCAGCGCCAACGCACUCCAUUUUCCUUCCACCCUGCCGGUGGGGGGCGUUUGCUUGUUCUCACUCUGCAGCCGCAGCCAGUGGCGCCGCUACCAAGGUCCCCGCCUCGCCAUCCGGGUCCUGCCUGAGCAUCCUUAUUGGUGCUCAGGGCUAGGCGUGCAUUGCUGCUAGGGGCGCGGAAAGGUUUAUCGUGGGUGGAUGCUGCCCGGGGCUUGAGUGGUUUUUAGAGGUCUUGAGUGGCUCACUCUCCAAUCAGCGCUUUCUAGAGACAGCGUGGUCAGCGUACUUGCUUACUUUCAGGAUUGCGAGACGUCUUUAACCCUUGCUGAUCGGCUGACGCUGCAGCUUCCUGUGGCUUCCUGCUCAUUUCCCGCAAGAUAGCACUGAUAGGCAAUUCCAUUUUGGAAAAUUUAUCCUGAGGAAAUAAAUAAAGAUGUAAACAGAGAAUAACUUACAGAUGUGACGUUUGUGAUCGUUAAAACUGGAAACAGCGCAAGAGUGGACGAUAGGGGAUGAGAGAGCCACACAGCGCAUAGAAGAUGAUCAGUCUGAAGAGAGGGUUUUCAGACAUGCAAUUAACUGCUAUUCACUGUACUUCAUUUUAACUGCAAACUAGCAGUCUCUUUCCCCAGGAAAAAAGAGGUCAACUCGGAGGAGCCAGGGAUUCAGCCCACUCUGGACAACACUCAGAGCCAUGGCACCUACCUGUAUGAAAAAAAAUUGUUAAGCAGCUGCCACUCCUAGUUACUGGCCUCUGCUCGGUGACUGAUGCACUUCUAACAUCCUUGUCCCAGGAUAAAGACCUUGUAAUGGAGAAAAAAGAUGGCAGGGAUCCUUUCCAUGGAAUUUCGGCUGUUGUCUAGUGGACCUUCCAGGAAUUGUCUGAUUCUAUGGGAGUGCGCAACUUUGACUGUUCAGUUGGGCCAAUUGGCAACACUGUAGAGACGGAAACUAACUUGUGGAGGGCUGAGGGUGAUACAGACAUUUUCUGUCCGUGGUAAUGCAAAAGGUGUUCAUAGCAAUGCAAAUGGAUUUUAUCCAAUGGGGGAGAUAAAUAUUUGAACGGGCUCUCUUGUUAAUUACUAGUUAAUCAAAAUAUUUGACAUGUAUUCAUUCUAUAUUUAUAGGGGAGUCAUGAUUCUACCUUUUUGGAAAUGACCCUCUAGCAGUUUUAUUGGUCCUAUGAGAUACACAGUAGAUUCACCAGCCAGAGCCAGAUGAGCUGCACAGUUGCCAAAGGGAACUUCAGAUGCCACCAGAGCCUCAGCUCUGUCCUCCCUCACCUCCCAAGGUGACUUCCAAGCAGCCACAGAACUUUAAUUUUACUUACUCUCUGUUUCUCUAGUUUUAUUUUUCUAAUCUUUACUGAAUUUGUGUCUGUGGUUUUAUUUCUGGUUUAUUCCUGACUAUAAGUUAUUCCCUAUUCUUGACAACAGUGAUUGAGAAUUUGGUUUUUGGCCUGACCAUUUAGUCAUCUCUGUAGAUGGAUGACACAGAUCUAAUUCCUUUCAAGUGAGAGACAACAGGAAAUCCGGUUUGUUGGUCCUUUCUUGUUUGUUUAUUUUGAGCUCCAGUCAGUUAGAAAUUUAGUGCCCGCUGCAAAGCACAGCUCUUUGAGACUUGGGAUUGGUAAGAGGGUGUGUUGCUUACUUCUGGCCUGUGGCUGAAUUUGCAGGGCCAAAGCCAAAAUCUCUCCAUAUGUCUGUCAUCUGUGAUCCAUGUGUCUGCAAGUCUAUAACUGAGAAAAGCCUUGAUUCCGUGAUAUGUGAGUGUGAAAUAAAUUAAUAAAUUAGUUAUGUCUCUUAAAUCAAAGGAGCUCUGUUCUUACUAGUUUAUAGGAAAAAAGGCACUUAUAUAUCUUAUAUAUCUCAUAUUUCUAGCUUCUAGUGCUUUCAAUGUGUUAGGCUUUUUAAAAUAUCCUUCAUACAGAAACUGCUACCUUAAAUACAUUUUAUAAAACCAAGUUCCUGUAACUAAGGUAAAUCUGUGGCAAGUCAAACUAGCUUAAUAAUUUUGGUUUUUAAAAAACAGAUUGGUCUUGUCUUUGAUUUACAGUGUUAAGUAUAAUUCAAUUGUGUAUUUGAUCAAAUCUCUCAUGAAGAGAAUAAUCUGGUCUUCUUAAAUAGUUUAUCAAAAAGAUAACAUUAGUCUAAUACAAUGUCACUAUUAUGAAAACUGAAUAUUGGUAUUACUCUAAAUUGAAUCACUAUUUAGACACAUCCGUUACCUCAACCUAUGUUUUGUAGUAUAAUUUAUCCAAUUAAAUAAAUGUCCAAGAUCUUUAGAUAACUUAGAACCUGGAAUCUUCAGAUAAAUCAGAACCUGACCCUGAAUGGAGUUAAUUAAUAGAUAAUCAUCAGAUACCUAGAUAAACGAAGUAGGAUAUAACACUAAAACAUGGAUUGCUAAGCCUACUUUUAGGCUUAUCCACUUUUGCUCCUUAUUUUUAUAUUCUGCAGAAAGCCUGGAUCUUUGAGUUGUGUUGAUGGGCAUAUUCGUGUUUGCCACUUGAAGGAGUAAGAGGCCCGCGUGGAUCUGGAGGCAAGUGGCUGUGCCCUCCUGCAAUCUGCUCACCUGCAGAAAUGCUCGCGUAGGGCAGCUCUCAAUUUUCUGCCACCUCCUCAGCUUUUUCUGUGAAACAGAAGUUGGUUACUUUGGAUGAAAAUUAUCUUUCAUAUAGGUGGUUGGUACACGAAGCAAUAGUGACAAAUAAAACUCUGUGUGCGUGCUUCUGUUUUGUCAUGCAAUGAAAAGUAGUUUUGUUCCAGAAUAUGAAUGAACACAGUGAAUGAAGGUCUAAAGAAGUGAAUGUUAUUUGCCUUGGUUUAUAAUACCUGAGUCUGAAAAGAGACAUGAAGUAACUUAGAUCUUAGCAAAGUUUCCUCACUUUUGAUGGGCUUGCCGCCUUGGCUUACUGGUCACCGCCUUCAUCUACAGCAGGGGUCCCCAAUCCCCGGGCUAUGGUCCAGCAACAGUCCAUGGCCUGUUAGGAACCGGGCCACAUAGCAGGAGAUAAGCGGUGGUUACAGCUGCUCCCCAUCACUCACAGUACUGCCUGAGCUCUGCCUUCUGUCACGGUGGCAUGAGAUUCUCACAGGAGUAUGAACCCCUAUUGUAAACUGUGCAUGCAAGGCAUCUAGGUUGUAUGCUCCUUAUGAGAAUCUAAUGCCUGACAAUCUGUCACUCUCUCCCAUCACCCCCAGAUGGGACCAUCUAGUUGCAGGAAAAUAAGCUCAGGCCUCCACUGAUUCUAUAUUAUUGUGAGUUGUAUAAUUAUUUCAUUAUAUAUUACAAUGUAAUAAUAAUAGAAAUAAAGUGUACAAUAAAUGUAAUGUGCUUGAAUCAUCCAGAAACCAUCCCCCCAUCCCAGUCCGUGGAAAAAAUGUCUUCCAUGAAACCGGUUCCGGGCGCCAGAAAGGCUGGGGACCACUGACCUGCAGCACAAAGGCUAUUCUUUACCUUCCUUGUGGUCUGCCUGACAGCAAAAGUGUGUGUCUUGCCAGAAAAAUUUCUGUGCCUUAUGCUGACUUCAUUCAGUCCUUGAGUAUUUAAACAAAACAAUACAAAAACUCACUUGUGAAAGAGAUGAUUCUUUAAACUCAUGUCACCUUCUGUUUACUUUUACAUUUGUUUGCAUUAUUAAAAGAGUAAGCAAGAAUUAUUUCUUCAGCACCCAUGAUAUGCUCUGAGUCAAGUGCCUAAAUCUUCUCUGACAACUCUUUUGAUUUUUCCUUCUAGAGAUCAGAUCCUAAAUAUAGAAAGAGUAAAAGAAAACUUUUUAUCUUGAACUAAAACAUUCUUUGAAACUUCCCAGAGGGCCCCUGGAAAUUCACGAGAUUUGUACUUUCACCCUAUGAAGCAAGAGCAAGAGAGGCCAGAAGUAAUUAUGUUUAUUAUUCUUUAAUCAGCAUCUGAAGAGAUGCUCAGCCUCCCUAGGUUAAGUUUGUAUCAGUAAACUCAUUAUAAAUAGUUCAGACACUGCACACUUUGUAGGAAGGCCCUGAAGCUUUGCCAGUGCCCUCGUCGCCGUCCAUUGUAUGCUUUACCUUUAGUGAGACACUGAUCAAAAUGCUUAUGAAAUAGUUAUUUCCCAGUAGAGAAUCUUACUUUCCUGCGGUUGCUGUAAUAAAUUAACCAACAGUCAACUACCAGUAGUUUUGUAUUUACUCUGAUGUGCACCUGGGACUCUGCUGUAAGCCACUGGUGAGCGGCUGUGCCUUCCACAAGGGGCAGCCUCAGAGGCUCAAGAGGACAUGCAGGGGCUCUAAGCUGAGGAUGCUACAGUGAAUCACCUCGCGGGGACACGCUCCUGAGCGGACCUCACUUAGGCCACCUUCAGAUCAUCCAUCAGACGGAGUCAUGACUUCUAGGCCUCUAAGCUCAGAGCAGAGGCUCCCUAAAAGUUCUCUCUUGACUGGAUCCAGAGAACAGGAAUUAUUACUUAGGAUUGAAUGAGGCAAUUUUGUCUUGGUUAUUUUUUGGAAUAUUGCUGAUGUUGCUUUGAUGUUCUUUCAUUUCUAGAUCUGUGAGGAAGCUCCUUCUCUUCCUUUUUAACCUACAAUUUAAUAGACUUUGCUUUUGUCAAUUGAAAAGAAACAUUUGUAAAAUAGUUUCUUAUUUUCACUAACCCUCCAGAACUCAGAAAAUGACUUAGUCUUAAGUUUUCAUGGAAAUAUAGUUAUUUUCAUAAAUUCAAUGGAGAACUUUUCUUCUUUUGCUGGGAUAAAACAGCAUUAAGCAAUAAGGGUUAUUGUGGGGUUGUCAUAAUUGGAGGUGAGUCUCAUUUAAUCAGGUGGGAUAAGCCACUUUUAUACAGAAUUGAUGCCACAAAGCUACUGCAGGAGAACAUGCUGGGCCCUUGAGUCCUAGCCUCACAGGUGGUAGGAAAGGUGGUUUCCUGCAGGCCAGGAGCAAGCAUCAACUGAUGUAGGGAACUUUGAGAAGCGAGGAAGCCAUCCAAAGUUACAGAUACAUAGGUGAGAGCUGGUGGUGACAGUUCCUUGAACUCGGUUUCCCAGCAGAUAAAAGAGGCUUUUAUAAAUCCCAGCUAAGAUUUUCUAUUCAGACAGGAGCGAAUUCCAGGGCCAUGGCAGUUGCUUAAUGCUGCACAGCACUCUAGAUUUGAAAGCUACAGGCCAGGUGCGGUGGCUCAUGCCUGCAAUCCCAACACUUUGGGAGGCCAAGGUGGGCAGAUCACUUGAAGUCAGGAGUUCAAGACCAGCCUGGCCAAAAUGGUGAAACCCCAUGUCUAUUAAAAAUACAAAAAUUGGCUGGGCAUGGUGGCGCACGCCUGUAAUUCUACCUACUCAGGUGGCUGAAGCAGGAGAAUCACUUGAACCCGGGAGGCAGAGGUUGCAGUGAGCUGAGAUCAUGCCACUACACUCCAGCCUGGGCAACAGAGUGAGACUCUACCUAAAAAAAUAAGAAAGCUAACCCAAGGAGGUCUGGAAAGUCUAGAACAUUCUCACUGCACCUGUGUAAAUAGGCCAAACUGAGACCCAUUGUCUUGUGAUCGAGAAUCAUUUUUGGAGACUGUUGUGAUCCUGGGGCAGGGAGACAAAGAUUGUUCAGUUGUUAUAGGCUUUACAUGGGCAAAAAACUCAGUGUCCCUUUGAUGGAUUCUGGGCAGUGGCUAGGGACCCUCAGGGAUUGUCGGAUUCCGUGGGGACACAUGCCUUCAAUUCUCUGGGCAGGGUUGUUCUGCAGUUCUGCAGAGACAGCAUCAGCUCGUGUGGGGCUGCUGAAGAUGCAGAAGUUUCCUGUUCCUAGCUAUGCACAUAAUUCUGGGCCAAAGCAACGCACAUGCAUCUUGUCCAGUAGAAAAUAUAAACCUCUGUACAUCCAGUUCUCAUUUAAACUGCCUGUAA
Molecule: long non-coding RNA, 7710 nt
Filed under: Homo sapiens (human)
Lineage: Eukaryota; Metazoa; Chordata; Mammalia; Primates; Hominidae
Description: HSALNT0305695
Source: RNAcentral